GACGAACGCUGGCGGCGUGCCUAACACAUGCAAGUCGAACGGAGAGAUACGAUAGCUUGCCCUUGUAAAUCUUAGUGGCAAACGGGUGAGUAACGCGUAAACAACCUGCCCAACGGAUGGGUACAACAGACGGAAACGACUGCUAAUACCCAAUAGACUCCCGUUUCGCAUGACACCGACAGGAAAGGUUGCCUCUCGAAGAAGCUACCGCCGCAGGCGGGGUUUGCGUUUGAUUAGGUAGUUGGUGGGGUAACGGCCUACCAAGACGAGGAUCAAUAGCCGGCCACCGAGGCGGCACGGCCUAGCUGGAACGGGAGCACGGUCCAGAACACUGCGAGAGGGAGCAGUGGGGGACUCUCAGCAAUGGCAGCAAGUCGGAAGGAGCGACGACGCGUGAGUGAAGGAGGCAUUAGUGUUGUAAAGCUCUGUUAUUCGGGAAGAACGAUUCGUUUGUAAAUAAUGGACGGAAGUGACGGUACCGAAAGAGAAAGCCACGGCUAACUACGUG
RNAcentral lists this ribosomal RNA (508 nucleotides) under uncultured bacterium. RNAcentral's name for it is "partial 16S ribosomal RNA". It matches the Rfam family "Bacterial small subunit ribosomal RNA", at positions 28 to 507 of the family's 1533-position model. The record is from RNAcentral.